Non-coding RNA from Pelobates cultripes (western spadefoot toad), 215 nucleotides. Lineage: Eukaryota; Metazoa; Chordata; Amphibia; Anura; Pelobatidae. The record is from the annotation of a GenBank genome assembly.
AGGUCCGAGGUAACUUACCGAAAUUUGAAAAGAUCUGGGGCCUGUGGGUAGAUAGCGGAGUUGGCGAUUAGGAGAUGGGGGGGUUGGGCUUGUCCCCCCAGCACCCCUGUUUCUGUAGCUGACCUAUAUUAACUUUGGACUCACCCAGCCUGCACUCCUGCAGAGGAUUGAUCGGGAUCCCACAGGCAGACUCACACGAUCUGGCCAGACUCACA